GUUACAAGGAAAUGGCAGAAUGGAGAUGAGAAUUCCAGACUUCUACAACAUCCAGUGUGCUGGAACAGUCCUCCCUUUAGUCAAAUAGGGAUUUUUUUAAGCCUAAAAGUGAUGCUUGAAAGAAGAUUCAGAUGUGAGAAGUAAACAGCAGUUGGGGGGCAGUUAAAACACCAGGGAACAAUGCGGCUGCCCCAUAAAAAUGUGCUCCCACUUGCAUUUACAGCCUUAGCUAAAGCUGCGAAGAAGGACAACUGUUCAAAUACAAUUGUAGAGAGGUCUUCUCUUCCUUCCCCAUUCAAUGUCCCUGGUAAGCAGGGGUCAGGUCUCAGCUACCUUUGAAGACCCUACUGCAGGUGUUGA
Molecule: long non-coding RNA, 360 nt
Filed under: Homo sapiens (human)
Lineage: Eukaryota; Metazoa; Chordata; Mammalia; Primates; Hominidae
Description: HSALNT0010375
Source: RNAcentral